UACAUGAUUUAUGAUAGUGAAGGGGGAAGAACACAUCAACAACCUCACUUUCCACAGGCUGGAUAUUCACCGGCAAAUAUUGGUCUCCAAAAUCCUCUGCCAGCUACUGGCACAAAUAUGUUAGCUCGCAAUCCAAGCCAUUCACACUAUAUUCGCAACCAUCCCUAUAGUGAGUUGAUUGAGAAGACGGUAAACAUGGGUUUCAGAGGUGAUAUUGUUGUGAGUGUGAUACAGAGGAUGGAGGAGAGCG
Molecule: unclassified non-coding RNA, 250 nt
Filed under: Hevea brasiliensis (rubber tree)
Lineage: Eukaryota; Viridiplantae; Streptophyta; Magnoliopsida; Malpighiales; Euphorbiaceae
Source: RNAcentral